UCCAUCGCGAGGUGGAAUCUGAAGGAAGCCGGCGGCAAAUUUCCGGCCUGAGGAACACGAACUUCAUAUAAGGCUAGCGUACGCUGGAUGAGACUGCUAAACAAGUCAAAGCCCAUACUGCCGAAGGCGUACGAGAGUAAAUGGAGCAGGUAGAUAGAGAGGAAGAUAGCGUU
Molecule: non-coding RNA, 173 nt
Organism: Paenibacillaceae bacterium GAS479
Lineage: Bacteria; Bacillati; Bacillota; Bacilli; Caryophanales; Paenibacillaceae
Source: Rfam